Molecule: ribosomal RNA, 251 nt
Filed under: uncultured bacterium
Lineage: Bacteria
Description: partial 16S ribosomal RNA
Rfam family: Bacterial small subunit ribosomal RNA
Source: RNAcentral
ACGGAGGGUGCAAGCGUUAAUCGGAAUUACUGGGCGUAAAGCGCACGCAGGCGGUCUGUUAAGUCAGAUGUGAAAUCCCCGGGCUCAACCUGGGAACUGCAUCUGAUACUGGCAGGCUUGAGUCUCGUAGAGGGGGGUAGAAUUCCAGGUGUAGCGGUGAAAUGCGUAGAGAUCUGGAGGAAUACCGGUGGCGAAGGCGGCCCCCUGGACGAAGACUGACGCUCAGGUGCGAAAGCGUGGGGAGCAAACAG